RNAcentral lists this ribosomal RNA (301 nucleotides) under uncultured bacterium. RNAcentral's name for it is "partial 16S ribosomal RNA". It matches the Rfam family "Bacterial small subunit ribosomal RNA", at positions 509 to 807 of the family's 1533-position model. The record is from RNAcentral.
CAGCAGCCACGGUAAUACGAAGGGGGCUAGCGUUGCUCGGAAUUACUGGGCGUAAAGGGAGCGUAGGCGGAUCGUUUAGUCAGGGGUGAAAUCCCGGGGCUCAACCUCGGAACUGCCUUUGAUACUGGCGAUCUUGAGUAUGGGAGAGGUGUGUGGAACUCCGAGUGUAGAGGUGAAAUUCGUAGAUAUUCGGAAGAACACCAGUGGCGAAGGCGACACACUGGCCCAUUACUGACGCUGAGGCUCGAAAGCGUGGGGAGCAAACAGGAUUAGAUACCCCUGUAGUCCCUGUCUCUUAUAC